UACGUAGGGUGCAAGCGUUGUCCGGAAUUAUUGGGCGUAAAGAGCUCGUAGGCGGUCUGUCGCGUCGAAUGUGGAAACCCGGGGCUCAACCCCGGGCCUGCAUUCGAUACGGGCAGACUAGAGUUCGGUAGGGGAGUCUGGAAUUCCUGGUGUAGCGGUGAAAUGCGCAGAUAUCAGGAGGAACACCAAUAGCGAAGGCAGCUCGCUGGGACGGUACUGACGCUAAGGCGCGAAAGCGUGGGGAGCGAACAGG
RNAcentral lists this ribosomal RNA (253 nucleotides) under uncultured bacterium. Its description in RNAcentral is "partial 16S ribosomal RNA". It matches the Rfam family "Bacterial small subunit ribosomal RNA", at positions 524 to 776 of the family's 1533-position model. The record is from RNAcentral.